UCUUGGGUGUCCCCAGUGUCCAUUGGGUGGUGGUGGCACUCAGGUGUCCCCAGUGUCCUUUGGAUGGAGGUGGCAUUUAGGUGUCUUGGGUGUCCCCAAUGUCCAUUGGGUGGAGGUGACACUCAGAUGUCCCCAAUGUCCUUUGGGUGGUGGUGGCACUCAGGUGUCCCCAGUGGCCCUUGGGUGGUGGUGACACUCAGGUGUCCCCAGUGUCCUUUGGGUGGUGGUGGCACUCAGAUGUCCCCAGUGUCCAUUGGAUGCAGGUGGCAUUUGGUUGUCUUGGGUGUCCCCAAUGUCCAUUGGAUGGAGGUGGCACUCAGGCAUCCCCAAUGUCCCCAACGUCCAUUGGGUGGUGGUGGCACUUGUGUGACCCCAGUGUCCCCAACGUCCAUUGGGUGGUGGUGGCACUCAGGUGUCCCCAGUGU
RNAcentral lists this long non-coding RNA (425 nucleotides) under Phasianus colchicus (ring-necked pheasant). RNAcentral's name for it is "lncRNA (ENSPCLG00000014084.1)". Lineage: Eukaryota; Metazoa; Chordata; Aves; Galliformes; Phasianidae. The record is from RNAcentral.